GUGAAUCAUCGAAUCUUUGAACGCACAUUGCGCCCGCCAGUAUUCUGGCGGGCAUGCCUGUCUGAGCGUCAUUUCAACCCUCAUGCCUCCGGGCGUGGUGUUGGGGAUCGGCCUUCAGCCCCCUCGGGGGCGUGGCCGGCCCCUAAAUCUAGUGGCGGACCCGCUGUGGCCUCCUCUGCGUAGUAGUGAUACCCCGCACCGGAAAGCAGCGAGCCCCUGCCGUAAAACCCCAACUCUUCUAAGGUUGACCUCAGAUCAGGUAGGAAUACCCGCUGAACUUAAGCAUAUCAAUAAGCGGAGGA
This 302-nucleotide unclassified non-coding RNA is filed under the name Clonostachys sp. RNAcentral describes it as "partial contains 5.8S ribosomal RNA, internal transcribed spacer 2, and large subunit ribosomal RNA". The stretch from base 1 to 71 matches the Rfam family "5.8S ribosomal RNA", at positions 84 to 154 of the family's 154-position model. Lineage: Eukaryota; Fungi; Ascomycota; Sordariomycetes; Hypocreales; Bionectriaceae. The record is from RNAcentral.